RNAcentral lists this transfer RNA (75 nucleotides) under Bacteroidia bacterium. Its description in RNAcentral is "tRNA-Val". It matches the Rfam family "tRNA". From Rfam's summary of the family: Transfer RNA (tRNA) molecules are approximately 80 nucleotides in length. Their secondary structure includes four short double-helical elements and three loops (D, anti-codon, and T loops). Further hydrogen bonds mediate the characteristic L-shaped molecular structure. tRNAs have two regions of fundamental functional importance: the anti-codon, which is responsible for specific mRNA codon recognition, and the 3' end, to which the tRNAs corresponding amino acid is attached (by aminoacyl-tRNA synthetases). tRNAs cope with the degeneracy of the genetic code in two manners: having more than one tRNA (with a specific anti-codon) for a particular amino acid; and 'wobble' base-pairing, i.e. permitting non-standard base-pairing at the 3rd anti-codon position. The record is from RNAcentral. Lineage: Bacteria; Pseudomonadati; Bacteroidota; Bacteroidia.
GGGCGAUUAACUCAGCUGGUUCAGAGUGCCACCCUUACAAGGUGGAAGUCGCAGGUUCGAAUCCUGCAUCGCCCA